UGAGGAACAUGACCUUCGGCGGGGGAUAGCCGGCCCAACGGCCGGGUAAUACCGCGUACGACCUUCCGGGGACAUCCCUGGAUGGUGAAAGCAGCAAUGCGCCGAUGGAGUGCCUCGCGGCCUAUCAGCUAGUUGGUGAGGUAACGGCUCACCAAGGCGACGACGGGUGGCUGGUCUGAGAGGAUGGCCAGCCACAUUGGGACUGAGACACGGCCAGACUCCUACGGGAGCAG
This 233-nucleotide ribosomal RNA is filed under the name uncultured bacterium. Its description in RNAcentral is "partial 16S ribosomal RNA". It matches the Rfam family "Bacterial small subunit ribosomal RNA", at positions 118 to 347 of the family's 1533-position model. The record is from RNAcentral.